Molecule: long non-coding RNA, 2477 nt
Organism: Oncorhynchus tshawytscha (Chinook salmon)
Lineage: Eukaryota; Metazoa; Chordata; Actinopteri; Salmoniformes; Salmonidae
Source: Ensembl
GGGAGGGAUAAGAGGAGGAGAGUGGGGGAAGGGUUGAUUGUUAGAGCAAGUAGGCUGCUGAGGAGAGGACUUCAGAAGCAGUGCACUCUGCAAGAAAAUAUGCUGUCUGGUUGAAAUCUAUUGGAUUUUCAGAUGAUAACGUUAGGAUACACGUUUAGCGAACUUUAUGACCACAUUCACUGUUGUUCCUUGUAGAUCUUGGACGUGAGAUUGCUAGGUCCGAACUCGCUAGACAUGAGAUGAGUUAGCGGUAUACUGGCCGUUAGCUAGUUUAAGAAGUAAAUAUUAUUUCAUAGAAAGGGUUGGCAAUAUCGAGGAAAAUCCUCGUCCAGACAUUGGCAAGAAAAUUCCACUUAACGACCUAUCGGGGUGGUGUGUCGGGAUGGACUGCUCUGAUGGAGAAACUCAACCUCCACAAACGGGAGUACCCCACUACCCGGCAAUACAUGUGUGCACAGCUCUCAUUCAAAAGUACUCCUUGUUGAGAGACCAGACAGGGAAGGGAUAUGUCUCGAGGCCACUGCAGCCAUUUUGCUACCUCCUCAAAGAAGAUCCAAGUGGGCUGUACGUCACAGACAGUAACAAUUAGAGCCAAGUCCAACUGUUCCUGGAUGGAGAGGAGCUACAUGCCAGAGGACAUCUCCAUGGAAUUGAGAUUGGCAAUGGGAGUCCAUUUUGUUUUUAACAUUGAGCAUGCAGCAUCAGUGAAAAACACUAUGCUGAGCUUUCAGAAACCUGUUCUGGGAAUUUAUGAGUGGGGUAAAUUACCAACAAAUGUUGAAUGGCAAACUUUUUUCAGAGUUCCUCUGUCCAGUGUCUGUGUUAUUUUGCCCAUCUUCAUCUUUUCUUUUUAUAGGCCAGUCUGAGAUAUGGCUUUUUCUUUGCAACUCUGCACAGAAGGCCAGCAUCCCGGAGUCGGCCUUUUCAUUGUUGACGUUGAGACUGGAGUUUUGCGGGUACUAUUUAAUGAAGCUGCCAGUUGAGGACUUGUGGGGCGGGGCGUCUGUUUCUCAAACGAGAUACUCUAAUGUACUUGUCCUCUUGCUCAGUUGUGCACCGGGGCCUCCCACUCUUUCGAUUCUGGUUAGAGCCAGUUUGCGCUGUCCUGUGAAGGGAGUAGUACACAGCAUUGUACGAGAUCUUCAGUUUCUUAGCAAUUUCUCGCAUGGAAAAGCCUUCAUUUCUCAGAACAAGAAUAGACUGAUGAGUUUCGGAAGAAAGGUCUUUGUUUCUGGCCAUUUUGAGCCUGUAAUCGAACCCACAAAUGCUGAUGCUCCAGAUACUCAACUAGUUUAAAGAAGGCCAGUUUUAUUGCUUCUUUAAUCAGAAGAACUGUUUUCAGCUGUGCUAACAUAAUUGCAAAAGGGUUUUCUGAUGAUCAAUUAGCCUUUUAAAAUUAUAAACUUGGAUUAGCUAACACAACGUGUCAUUGGAACACAGGAGUGAUGGUUGCUGAUAAUGGGCCUCUACGCCUAUGUAGAUAUUCCAUUACAAAUCAGCCAUUUCCAGCUACAAUAGUCAUUUACAACAUUAACAAUAUCUACACUGUAUUUCUGAUCUAUUUGAUGUUAUUUUAAUGGACAAAAAAUUUGCUUUUCUUUCAAAAACAAGGAAAUAUCUAAGUAACCCCAAACUUUUGAACGGUAGUGUAUAUACUGUAUGUAUGUUUUUAUGUUUAGAUUCAUAAUAUAAUUUAAAAGUAUGCAUGAAGGGAUCUGUAAUAGAAUAAAUGUGGCAAAAUGUCUACAUUACGAAUGUAGACAUUAAUAAAGGCAUUUCUAAUAAUGUGUGACACAUGGUGCCAGGUUUCCUCCAGACGUGACGCUUGGCCUUCAGGCCAAAGAGUUCAAUAUUGGUUUCAUCAGACUAGAGAAUCUUGUUUCUCAUGGUUUGAGAGUCUUUAGGUGCCUUUUGGCAAACUCAAAGCGGGUUGUCAUGUGCCUUUUACUGAGGAGUGGCUUCCGUCUGGCCACUCUAACAUAAAGGCCAGAUUGGUGGAGUGCUGCAGAGAUGGUUGUCCUAUCUCCACAGAUCAACUAUAGAGCUCAGGUUCUUGGUCACCUCCCUGACCAAGGCCCUUCUUCCCUGAUUUCUCAGUUUGGCCAGGCAGCCAGUUCUAGGAAGAGUCUUGGUGGUUCCAAACAUCUUCCAUUUUAGAAUGAUGGAGGCCACUGUGUUCUUGGGGACAUUCAAUUCUACAGAAAUUGUUUGGUACCCUUCCCCAGAUCUGUGCCACGACACAAUCCUGUUUUGUUGCUCUAUGGAUAAUUCCUUCAACCUCAUGGCUUGGUUUUUGCUCUGACCAUGCACUGUCAACUAUGGGACCUUAUAUAGACAGGUGUGUGCCUUUCCAAAUCAUGUCCAAUCAAUUGAAUUUACCACAGGUGGACUCCAAUCGAGUUGUAGAAACAUCUCAAGUGUGAUCAAUGGAAACAGGAUGGACCUGAGCUCAAUUUCGAGUCUCAUAGCAAAGGGUC